Molecule: non-coding RNA, 72 nt
Organism: Phrynosoma platyrhinos (Desert horned lizard)
Lineage: Eukaryota; Metazoa; Chordata; Lepidosauria; Squamata; Phrynosomatidae
Source: the annotation of a GenBank genome assembly
GCCAGUGUGGUGUAGUGGUUUGUGUAUUGGAUUACAACUCUAGAGACCAGGUUUCAAAUCCCUGUUCAGCUA